UACGUAGGGUCCGAGCGUUGUCGGGAAUUAUUGGGCGUAAAGGGCUCGUAGGCGGUUGGUCACGUCGGGAGUGAAAACUCAGGGCUCAACCCUGAGCGUGCUUCCGAUACGGGCCGACUAGAGGUAUGCAGGGGAGAACGGAAUUCCUGGUGUAGCGGUGGAAUGCGCAGAUAUCAGGAGGAACACCGGUGGCGAAGGCGGUUCUCUGGGCAUUACCUGACGCUGAGGAGCGAAAGCAUGGGGAGCGAACAGG
RNAcentral lists this ribosomal RNA (253 nucleotides) under uncultured bacterium. RNAcentral's name for it is "partial 16S ribosomal RNA". It matches the Rfam family "Bacterial small subunit ribosomal RNA", at positions 524 to 776 of the family's 1533-position model. The record is from RNAcentral.